AAUGUCUUUAACAGACACCCAGAGUCACG
Molecule: small nuclear RNA, 29 nt
Filed under: Eremothecium gossypii ATCC 10895
Lineage: Eukaryota; Fungi; Ascomycota; Saccharomycetes; Saccharomycetales; Saccharomycetaceae
Also listed under: 1 other name
Description: AgSNR11 (AGOS_AgSNR11)
Source: RNAcentral